CUACGGGUCGCAGCAGUGGGGAAUAUUGGACAAUGGGGGAAACCCUGAUCCAGCAAUGCCGCGUGUGUGAAGAAGGCCUGCGGGUUGUAAAGCACUUUCGGUUGGGAGGACUGCUUCUAGCACUAAUAUUGUUGGAAGUUGACGUUACCUUCAGAAGAAGCACCGGCUAACUCCGUGCCAGCAGCCGCGGUAAUACGGAGGGUGCAAGCGUAUAACGGAAUUACUGGGCGUAAAGCGCGCGUAGGCGGCUAGAUCAGUCGGGUGUGAAAGCCCCGGGCUUAACCUGGGAACUGCAUCCGAUACUGUCGAGCUUGAGUACAGGAGAGGAGAGUGGAAUUCCACAUGUAGCGGUGAAAUGCGUAGAUAUGUGGAGGAACACCAAUGGCGAAGGCAGCUCUCUGGCCUGAUACUGACGCUGAGGUGCGAAAGCGUGGGGAGCAAACAGGAUUAGAUACCCCCGUAGUC
This 465-nucleotide ribosomal RNA is filed under the name uncultured bacterium. RNAcentral's name for it is "partial 16S ribosomal RNA". It matches the Rfam family "Bacterial small subunit ribosomal RNA", at positions 339 to 795 of the family's 1533-position model. The record is from RNAcentral.